UUCGGAUUGCAGCCUGCAACUCGGCUGCAUGAAGCUGGAAUCGCUAGUAAUCGCGGAUCAGAACGCCGCGGUGAAUACGUUCCCGGGUCUUGUACACACCGCCCGUCACACCAUGGGAGCCGGAAACGCCCGAAGCCAGCGGCCCAACCGCAAGGGGGGAGCUGUCGAAGGCGGGGCCGGUGACCGGGGUGAAGUCGUAACAAGGUAGC
This 209-nucleotide ribosomal RNA is filed under the name uncultured bacterium. RNAcentral's name for it is "partial 16S ribosomal RNA". It matches the Rfam family "Bacterial small subunit ribosomal RNA", at positions 1292 to 1500 of the family's 1533-position model. The record is from RNAcentral.